GGUUAAGCGACUAAGCGUACACGGUGGAUGCCCUGGCAGUCAGAGGCGAUGAAGGACGUGCUAAUCUGCGAUAAGCGCCGGUAAGGUGAUAUGAACCGUUAUAACCGGCGAUUUCCGAAUGGGGAAACCCAGUGUGACUCGUCACACUAUCAUUAACUGAAUCCAUAGGUUAAUGAGGCGAACCGGGGGAACUGAAACAUCUAAGUACCCCGAGGAAAAGAAAUCAACCGAGAUUCCCCCAGUAGCGGCGAGCGAACGGGGAGGA
Molecule: ribosomal RNA, 265 nt
Filed under: Salmonella enterica subsp. enterica serovar Infantis
Lineage: Bacteria; Pseudomonadati; Pseudomonadota; Gammaproteobacteria; Enterobacterales; Enterobacteriaceae
Also listed under: 9 other names
Description: partial 23S ribosomal RNA
Rfam family: Bacterial large subunit ribosomal RNA
Source: RNAcentral